GAGAUUCAACAUGGAACGAGUGGCGGACGGGUGAGUAACACGUGGGUAACCUGCCCUUAAGUGGGGGAUAACAUUUGGAAACAGAUGCUAAUACCGCAUAGAUCCAAGAACCGCAUGGUUCUUGGCUGAAAGAUGGCGUAAGCUAUCGCUUUUGGAUGGACCCGCGGCGUAUUAGCUAGUUGGUGAGGUAAUGGCUCACCAAGGCGAUGAUACGUAGCCGAACUGAGAGGUUGAUCGGCCACAUUGGGACUGAGACACGGCCCAAACUCCUACGGGAGGCAGCAGUAGGGAAUCUUCCACAAUGGACGCAAGUCUGAUGGAGCAACGCCGCGUGAGUGAAGAAGGCUUUCGGGUCGUAAAACUCUGUUGUUGGAGAAGAAUGGUCGGCAGAGUAACUGUUGUCGGCGUGACGGUAUCCAACCAGAAAGCCACGGCUAACUACGUGCCAGCAGCCGCGGUAAUACGUAGGUGGCAAGCGUUAUCCGGAUUUAUUGGGCGUAAAGCGAGCGCAGGCGGUUUUUUAAGUCUGAUGUGAAAGCCC
This 541-nucleotide ribosomal RNA is filed under the name Lacticaseibacillus paracasei. RNAcentral describes it as "bacterial SSU rRNA". It matches the Rfam family "Bacterial small subunit ribosomal RNA", at positions 76 to 603 of the family's 1533-position model. The record is from RNAcentral. Lineage: Bacteria; Bacillati; Bacillota; Bacilli; Lactobacillales; Lactobacillaceae.